This 463-nucleotide ribosomal RNA is filed under the name uncultured bacterium. RNAcentral describes it as "partial 16S ribosomal RNA". It matches the Rfam family "Bacterial small subunit ribosomal RNA", at positions 28 to 507 of the family's 1533-position model. The record is from RNAcentral.
GAUGAACGCUGACAGAAUGCUUAACACAUGCAAGUCUUUGGCGAAGCUGUGCUUGCACAGCCUAGCCAAGGCGGACGGGUGAGUAACGCGUAAGGAACUUGCCCUGCAGUCAGGGAUAACAGACGGAAACGACUGAUAAGACCUGGUAAAGUCAGGCGGACUCAUGUCCAGCCUGAUGAAAAGAGAUGCUGCAGGAGAGCCUUGCGUCCUAUUAGCUUGUUGGUGGGGUAACGGCCCACCAAGGCGAUGAUAGGUAGCCGGCCUGAGAGGGUGGACGGCCACAAGGGGACUGAGAUACGGCCCUUACUCCUACGGGAGGCAGUAGUGGGGAAUAUUGGACAAUGGGGGCAACCCUGAUCCAGCAAUUCUGUGUGCACGAUGAAGGUUUUCGGAUUGUAAAGUGCUUUCAGCAGGGAAGAAAAAAAUGACGGUACCUGCAGAAGAAGCGACGGCUAAAUACGUG